UACGUAGGUGGCGAGCGUUAUCCGGAUUUAUUGGGUUUAAAGGGUGCGUAGGCGGGUAUUUAAGUCGGUGGUGAAAGGUAGCAGCUCAACUGUUUUACAUGCUGCCGAUACUGAAUAUCUUGAGUUAUGAGAAGGCAGAUAGAAUUUCUGGUGUAGCGGUGAAAUGCUUAGAUACCAGAAGGAAUACCGAUUGCGAAGGCAGUCUGCUGCACAUAUACUGACGCUGAGGCACGAAAGUAUGGGGAUCAAACAGG
RNAcentral lists this ribosomal RNA (254 nucleotides) under uncultured bacterium. RNAcentral describes it as "partial 16S ribosomal RNA". It matches the Rfam family "Bacterial small subunit ribosomal RNA", at positions 524 to 776 of the family's 1533-position model. The record is from RNAcentral.